AAAUAAAAUGUUAUUAAAUUUCAUAGACAAAUUAUCUUCGACGGGUAAAAACCCAAAACAAAAAAAAAAUAUUCAUGAUCACCAACUAAUUUUUUUUGUCGGCUAUUUAAUUAAAUGUGGAAUAAACCGCAAAAAAAGUGAUAAAUAUGUGAUCGUAGUUAUCGUGCUUUGUGUACAAACGUACAAAAUCUUGUGAAAUUAUUACAAAAAUCUGAAAAAUUUCAGAGUAAUAAAAAUAUUAUUAUAAUUAAUAUUUAUUUACUUGAAAAACAAAAACAAUAUUUUCAGUUUUUAAGUUUUAGGUUAAACUUUACAAACGUAUCUGGCAACAUAUAAUCGGUUUUUUUUUAAAUUUACAUCUGUGUUUUGGAGUAGCUACAAGUGUCGCAUAAUUGUCAUGUAUAUUCAAUAUCAGAAAAAUUACAAAAUUAUACAGAAUAUGGGUGUGUUGUGUUCCUUUUUGUAAAGGAAAAGCAACUUUUACUUUACACCAAGAUAAAAAAUGUUGAACCCUUUGGGAAAAGACUAUAAAUGAAAAUUUUUGGUCUUCGAAAUCACCAAGGUUAUGUCCUAACCGUUUCGCGAAGAAUGUUAUUUUUUUAAAAACUGAAAGUUAUUACACAGAUGAAUCGAUAUCAACCAACGGGUUGGACUGGGACUGAUGCUACCCAAGCCCAAGCUGGCCGCCUCAGACGUUACCAUGCAGACCGUUACCGUGGUUCCUCAGGCCGCGCUUCAGUAUGUCGAUCUGUGGCAACACAGACUAGUGGAUUGGAGUGGCCGUUAAACCCAGCUUCAGGCCGCCUGAUUGAGACUCAAGCAGGCCCCAGAGAAAUUCGACGACCACCAGCUUCGUUUCGAUCACGCCCAGCACCCGUUCUUGUUCAGCUCGUACCAUUGCCGACUCAGUCACCACCUAUUUCUGUCGAUUUGCCGUCGGCUCAAGCUACAUCAUCAGCUACUCUCAACACGUCACCAUCUAUCGCUAGAUCUCCUGUACCGGGGAAGUCUAAGAGCGCGAAACGUAGGGAAAAGCGUCUCAAUACACUUCGCCAACUAGUUAACCAGCCCGAGUCGGUGGAUCCCGUGAAAUUGAAAAAAUUGAUGAAGCAUAUCAUUACGCGUGAGGGUAAAAUCCUCAUUGCGGAAGUCCAGGGUGUACGUGAACCGAUGGAAGUUGGGUCUCCUCCCAUAACACCUGCCGAAUCGGAGGUACUGGCAUCGUCAUCUUCCCAGUGUCUUGAACUAUAAUAGGAGGAGGCCAGGGCGCUUCCCGGUACGCAACAACAGGCAGUUCAAUAGCCCUUACGUCCAGCAAUGGAGGAACUGGGUGUCCAGCAAUGCUCACCCGAGGCCGCUGGUCAGGUCUCUGGUUCCAAAACUGGCAGCAUGGACCAACAAAAGAAGACUCGACGCAAGAAGAAGAAGAACCGGGAAUGUGGACCUAAUUGAGCUGAGAUGAAGAUAUUCGACAGCGGAAAUAUUGUUCGGGUGAUUCUGGGUGUGAAAGCCCCAAGUUCUAUGAGGACGAGGACUUUUUGAUGGAUGAUGUCCUCGAGAUUGGGCUAAGCUCAUUCGACGAGCCCUUGUAUACGGGUCCACCCCCACCUAAAUCAAACAAGAAGAAGAAAUUAAUGUUCUUUAAUUUUCUUUUCUUUUCUUUUUGUUUUGAAAUUUAAAAUAAAUAUUUUUCUAUCUUUCCACAAUAUCGAUAUCUUAUUAAGUCUUGAGUACAUGGCCGUUCCCUAUCCUUAGGAUGUUCAGGCCUUUGUGAUCAUCCGGAACCCGGGUGAUAGUCUGGCAGGGGAGAGUGUAACAGGGUAAAUUAGAAACUCCUGUAAAUUCAAAUAUUUGAAUUUCGAAUUUGUUUACCGUCGAUAACCGGUCGUUGAACUCGUAAGUUGUGGGUUAGUGACGCGACUAGUCACCGGGCGUCGCAUGGAUCACUAAGACCCGAACAUUCGCCACUCCCCUAAUUUAAGUAAGAGUAGGAAUAAGUUUCCGAGAGUGAACCAAAGAUGUCUAGGACUGCGGAACGUGGAUUUUAUCAGAGACAGUCGGACGACUAAAGUAGCAGGAUGCAUAUCAAAAUUCAGAACUAAUUGUACGAGGCAUUGAGAGAAAACGAGGAGCGAGAACCCGCCAACCAAACAGAGAACCAAAAACGAGCAGGUCAUCAGCCAAAAGACGAACAACAGUACCCGAUGAAAAAAGAUUUUAUACAAUUGUAUAGAAUUAUAUAUCAAUUAUAUAUAGACUAUAUAUAAUUGGAUAGAAAAAAUGGCCCGAUCCAAU
Molecule: long non-coding RNA, 2295 nt
Organism: Microplitis mediator
Lineage: Eukaryota; Metazoa; Arthropoda; Insecta; Hymenoptera; Braconidae
Exons: 4
Source: RefSeq, a predicted model, not a curated record